This 154-nucleotide microRNA precursor is filed under the name Asparagus officinalis (garden asparagus). RNAcentral's name for it is "miR12167 stem-loop (aof-MIR12167)". The record is from miRBase by way of RNAcentral. Lineage: Eukaryota; Viridiplantae; Streptophyta; Magnoliopsida; Asparagales; Asparagaceae.
AUGAGUAUGAGGUGGCGGCUCAUUUAGCUAAAUGAGCAACCAAGAGGUGAAGUGACGAGAUCCAUAUCUUUGAUGUGACUAGCAAGCUGAAUCUCACUACAUGAUUAUCUCUCCUUAGCUCAUUUAGUAAAAUUAGUCGUCACUUCAUACCCCA